AUGGGAGAAAGUGAAAGUGAAAGUGAAGUCCAUGACAGAAACAAAACACAAAGUCCAGAUAGUCCUUCACGGAGGGAGGUGGCGAGCAGAGUCUCGGCCGCGCAGCCGCCAGGCCGAGACAGCACAUUCUGUGCCCAAGGGCAAGACCCGAGUCCCAGGAGGAUGGCGUCUGAAGAAGACGCCUCCAAUGGUCCAACGUAUGCUUUCCAAGCGAGCGAUGCUCCAGGAGACCAAGGAGGCGCGACGGUUGGCAACGGCAGAGGCUGCGCCAUCGCCACGGCAGGAAACGGCGACCCCCGGGCAGGGAGUCGCCCCCGGAACCAGACAGCCGAGGUGGCCGAUGACGCAGGAGGCAGCGCCAUCCCCGCCACGAAAUGCACCAACGGCGAGGCCACCCAUCAGACAGACGAGAUCCAAGCCGGCGGGCUGCCGGCACCCAGGAGCAGAACAGACGUGGAGACGUGGUCAGCGCCGGACCACCAGGAACCGAUGCAGAUGCGGCCAGCGCCGGACUGCCAGGAACCGAUGCAGAUGCGGCCAGCGCCGGACUGCCAGGAACCGAUGCAGAUGCGGCCAGCGCCGGACUGGAGGUCAGCAGGAACUGUGGCGGAAGCAGCGACAGGAACAACCUCCUCCUGGAGGUCAGCAAGAACUGCGGCGGAAGCUGCGACAGGAACAACCUCCUCCUGGAGGUCAGCAGGAACUGCGGCGGAAGCUGCGACAGGAACAACCUCCUCCUGGAGGUCAGCAGGAACUGCAGCAAAAGCUGCGACAGGAACAACCUCCUCCUGGAGGUCAGCAGGAACUGCAGCGAAAGCUGCGACAGGAACAACCUCCUCCUGGAGGUCAGCAGGAACUGCAGCGGAAGCAGCGACAGGAACAACCUCCUCCUGGAGGUCAGCAGGAACUGCAGCGGAAGCUGCGACAGGAACAACCUCCUCCUGGAGGUCAGCAGGAACUGCAGCAAAAGCUGCGACAGGAACAACCUCCUCCUGGAGGUCAGCAGGAACUGCAGCGGAAGCUGCGACAGGAACAACCUCCUCCUGGAGGUCAGCAGGAACUGCAGCGGCUUGGCCGACAGGAACGGGAACGGCCUCGACUUGGCCGACAGGAACAGAAACGGCUUCUACCGGGCCGACAGGAACAGGAACGGCCUCUACCGGGCCGACAGGAACGGCCUCUACCAGGCCGACAGAAACAGGAACGGCCUCUACCGGGCCGACAGGAACGGCCUCUACCGGGCCGACAGAAACAGGAACGGCCUCUACCGGGCCGACAGAAACAGGAACGGCCUCUACCGGGCCGACAGAAACAGGAACGGCGUCCUUACUGGAGCCGGCAUGA
RNAcentral lists this long non-coding RNA (1344 nucleotides) under Betta splendens (Siamese fighting fish). Its description in RNAcentral is "lncRNA (ENSBSLG00000006072.1)". Lineage: Eukaryota; Metazoa; Chordata; Actinopteri; Anabantiformes; Osphronemidae. The record is from RNAcentral.